GACGAACGCUGGCGGCGUGCUUAACACAUGCAAGUCGAACGGGAAGGCCCUUCGGGGUACACGAGUGGCGAACGGGCGAGUAACACGUGGGUGAUCUGCCCUGCACUUCGGGAUAAGCCUGGGAAACUGGGUCUAAUACCGGAUAGGACUCCGGACUGCAUGGUCUGGGGUGGAAAGCUUUUGCGGUGUGGGAUGGGCCCGCGGCCUAUCAGCUUGUUGGUGGGGUGAUGGCCUACCAAGGCGACGACGGGUAGCCGGCCUGAGAGGGUGACCGGCCACACUGGGACUGAGAUACGGCCCAGACUCCUACGGGAGGCAGCAGUGGGGAAUAUUGCACAAUGGGCGCAAGCCUGAUGCAGCGACGCCGCGUGAGGGAUGACGGCCUUCGGGUUGUAAACCUCUUUCAGCAUCGACGAAGCGAAAGUGACGGUAGGUGCAGAAGAAGGACCGGCCAACUACGUGCCAGCCGCCGCGGUAA
Molecule: ribosomal RNA, 478 nt
Filed under: uncultured bacterium
Lineage: Bacteria
Description: partial 16S ribosomal RNA
Rfam family: Bacterial small subunit ribosomal RNA
Source: RNAcentral